AAGUCGUAACAAGGUUUCCGUAGGUGAACCUGCGGAAGGAUCAUUAAUGAACCUUUGAGAGUUGAGCUGGCUGAACUUCAGCAUGUGCUUGCUCUCUCAUCCUUUAUACACACUGUGCACUCUUGAGGGGAUUAGUAGACUCGCAAGAGUUGAAGUCCCCUUUUAUACAUACACUUUUAUUUUAUUAUUGAAUGUUUAAAGCUUAACAGCAUUAAAUUACAACUUUUAACAACGGAUCUCUUGGCUCUC
Molecule: unclassified non-coding RNA, 249 nt
Filed under: air metagenome
Description: partial contains small subunit ribosomal RNA, internal transcribed spacer 1, and 5.8S ribosomal RNA
Rfam family: Eukaryotic small subunit ribosomal RNA (bases 1-46)
Source: RNAcentral